Molecule: ribosomal RNA, 392 nt
Filed under: uncultured bacterium
Lineage: Bacteria
Description: bacterial SSU rRNA
Rfam family: Bacterial small subunit ribosomal RNA
Source: RNAcentral
GACGAACGCUGGCGGCGUGCCUAACACAUGCAAGUCGUGCGAGAAAGUUCCUUCGGGAGCGAGUAAAGCGGCGCACGGGUGAGUAACACGUAGGUAACCUGCCCCCCAGUCUGGAACAACUAGAGGAAACUCUAGCUAAUGCCGGAUGAGACCACGAUCCCUUCGGGGGUUGCGGCCAAAGAUGGCCUCUACUUGUAAGCUAUCGCUGAGGGAUGGGCCUGCGGGCCAUUAGCUUGUUGGUGAGGUAACGGCUCACCAAGGCUGUGAUGGCUAGCUGGUCUGAGAGGAUGACCAGCCACACUGGGACUGAGACACGGCCCAGACUCCUACGGGAGCAGCAGUGGGGAAUAUUGCGCAAUGGCGAAAGCCUGACGCAGCGACGCCGCGUGGGU